RNAcentral lists this transfer RNA (77 nucleotides) under Desulfovibrionaceae bacterium. RNAcentral's name for it is "tRNA-Arg". It matches the Rfam family "tRNA". From Rfam's summary of the family: Transfer RNA (tRNA) molecules are approximately 80 nucleotides in length. Their secondary structure includes four short double-helical elements and three loops (D, anti-codon, and T loops). Lineage: Bacteria; Pseudomonadati; Thermodesulfobacteriota; Desulfovibrionia; Desulfovibrionales; Desulfovibrionaceae. The record is from RNAcentral.
GUGCCCGUAGCUCAGGUGGAUAGAGCACGGUCCUUCUAAGUCCGCGGUCGGGGGUUCGAAUCCCUCCGGGCACGCCA